CUACCCUUGACAUCCAGAGAAUCCCGCAGAGACGUGGGAGUGCCGAAAGGAACUCUGAGACAGGUGCUGCAUGGCUGUCGUCAGCUCGUGUUGUGAGAUGUUGAGUUAAGUCCCGUAACGAGCGCAACCCUUAUCUUUAGUUGCCAACAUGUAAUGGUGGGGACUCUAAAGAGACUGCUGGUGAUGAACCGGAGGAAGGCGGGGACGACGUCAAGUCAUCAUGGCCUUUAUGGGUAGGGCUACACACGUGCUACAAUGGGGCGUACAGAGGGUUGCCAACCUGCGAAGGGGAGCCAAUCCCAGAAAGCGCCUCGUAGUCCGGAUCGGAGUCUGCAACUCGACUCCGUGAAGUCGGAAUCGCUAGUAAUCGCGAAUCAGAACGUCGCGGUGAAUACGUUCCC
RNAcentral lists this ribosomal RNA (401 nucleotides) under uncultured bacterium. Its description in RNAcentral is "bacterial SSU rRNA". It matches the Rfam family "Bacterial small subunit ribosomal RNA", at positions 975 to 1375 of the family's 1533-position model. The record is from RNAcentral.